CAUUUCCCCCACUUCGACCUAAAUUUUCCCUCAGUUUUUUUGCCCCUUUUCAUUUUUAGCGCCUUUUCAUUUCUCCCCCACACACACACACUCUCUCUCUUUCUCAGACACUUCGAGAAUCUCCUCACUGUCUCGUGUCUACCAGUACCCACAACCACAGCCAUCACCACCCACCACCACCACCACCACCCAACCCACAACCACCAAAUCACAAACAAAAACAAACCUCUGUAAACCCAACCCAGCAAACUCAGUCACCACCAUCCACCAUCACCCACCCACCUGCCACCACCAUAAACCCCAACCCAAAAUCAACCCACCACUAGCCACCACCACUAGAAAACAACGACCAAAUCACAAAACCCAACCAUCACAAAUCACAAAUCACAAAACAACCACCAUCACAAAGACAAAAUCUAGCCAUCACAAAAUUUCACCCACCACCAAAUCCGAUCCACCACCAAACUGUGACCCACGACCCAGACCCACCAUGACCAAGUGACCCACAGUGACCGCCGAAGCACUGUGACUCGCACCCAUGGGAAAUCGGUGAGAGGGAGAGAGAAAACGAGCAAGAGAGGGCCACAAACAACCCCACAAACGCUUCUCUCUCAGCUCCGCUAGGGUUAUAGAGAGAAAAAGUUUGUUCAGCCUCAGACCAAUUUCUUCACAAUCCCAAAAAUACCUUCUUCAAUGAAACUGGGUUCCAUUAACCAGAGACUAUAGCUAUUGAAGAUGCUGUCAGAGUUCUAUUGCAUGGUUUAGGGGAGGAUAUUAAUAGAGAAGGUCUCAAGAAGACUCCUUUUCGUGUUGCCAAGGCACUUCGUGAAGGAACCAAAGGUUUUUUAUUUAUUAGUGCUCAUUUAGAUGGAGAAACAAAUUUUUAUAAAUCUUUUCCCCUUUAAGAAAGAAACCAAAUAGAAUUCUCUUUUUUUUUUUUUUCUUCUUUUUUUUGAGAGAGAAUUUGAUUGGGAGGCAUUGACUCUCUCCCUCAACAACACAUGAUGAGCCAAUCCAGCCAAGGACUAUAAUAUAAGCGAGUGAAACUUCCUCCAAUCACAAAACAUUGUAUUCUGUAUUAUGGGUCCCAAACCUUCACCUUGAUUCUCAUUGGUGCGUGUGGUACACAAACACAUGGUUGAGAGUGGAAUUUUCUUACAAAUUGGCUUGGGAAAAGAUAGAAGAAGCAAAAAAAAAAAAAAAAUGCAUAAUAUAGUAUAGUAUAGAGUUUUUUUAAAUAAAAGAGUGUCAGAGGUUAGGGUCAAGUGAACGUGCAAUAUUUGAAGCAUAGAUCUGGAUCCACUCAAAGCACCAAACUCAAAUUAAACAACACAAAAUCAGUACAAUAUACACAAUACAUCACAACACACCAACACUUCUCUCACUCACUGCCACUCUUACCGGUCUUUUGUUUUUAUACUUUCAAAGGAAAGAGAGAGGAGAGAGUGUGUGUCUGUGUGAGGUAGUGUUUAGAAAGAGAGAGAAUCUAGAGAGAGAGAGUGCUUAGGUAACUAGCUUUCAGCUUCUUCACUGCUCACUUAAUAGCCCUGACCCCAAGAAACAAAGCAGCAGUAGUGAAGCGAUUGAAUGGUUCUUCUCUGCUCCAACUGCUGCUGCUAGACUCUGCAAACCAGCAUAGGAAGAAGGCGGUGGUUUGGCUUUUGUAGUAAAGAUUGACACUUUGACUGCUAUUAUUUAUGUUUGAAGAGGGAAAGAGAGAGAAACAGCAACAAGAAAGUACCUUCUUUCAUGGCUGCUGUGGGUGCGAGGGCUACCACUUCCAUCACAACAAAUCCAUUGUGUGCUGUUAAGACCAGACUCCAGAUUGCAAAAAGAAGAGGCACUACAAGUUUGUAUAAUCAAAGCAAAUGAAUUUGGUGAAAGACUUAAGGAUGCUCCUCUGAUCGAACAAUCUCCAGCUCUCCCCAAAUCAUCAGCCGCAUCUCAUCAACCAAGAAGCUUAUAAGUUUUAUCUUGGAGUUCUUGGACUUUUUUGUGUACAAAGAACUAUAGAAGAAGAACCACAUUUUUUCAAGUCUUGAAGGAUAUUUUUAAACACUUUGAAACUUUGAUUAUAGUAUUAGAUUAAUUUCAGCGGUUGUUUUAUUCAAAUGACCACAUCUUUUUUUUUGUUAAUUUUAAGAUGGUGAUUAUAGACAAUGUUAUAUAUUUGAUAAUAUAUUUUUAUGUUAAUAUUAUGUUAGUUUCAAGACA
This is a long non-coding RNA of Quercus robur (English oak), 2214 nucleotides long. RefSeq lists it as uncharacterized. The transcript is spliced from 7 exons. The record is from RefSeq and is a predicted model, not a curated record. NCBI's taxonomy places the organism in Eukaryota, Viridiplantae, Streptophyta, Magnoliopsida, Fagales, Fagaceae.